Molecule: ribosomal RNA, 245 nt
Filed under: uncultured bacterium
Lineage: Bacteria
Description: partial 16S ribosomal RNA
Rfam family: Bacterial small subunit ribosomal RNA
Source: RNAcentral
UACGGAGGAUGCAAGCGUUAUCCGGAUUUAUUAGGUUUAAAGGGUGUGUAGGCGGAUUGAUAAGUCAGCGGUGAAAUCCCACAGCUUAACUGUGGCACUGCCGUUGAUACUGUUGGUCUUGAAUGCAGUUGAAGUAGGCGGAAUGUGUAAUGUAGCGGUGAAAUGCUUAGAUAUUACACAGAACACCGAUUGCGUAGGCAGCUUACUAAACUGUGAUUGACGCUGAGGCACGAAAGCGUGGGGAG